GAUUAUCGAAGGAUAAUAACUAGACCUGAAUUCAUAAUC
This 39-nucleotide non-coding RNA is filed under the name unclassified sequences. Its description in RNAcentral is "S4-Flavobacteria ribosomal protein leader". It matches the Rfam family "S4-Flavobacteria ribosomal protein leader". The record is from RNAcentral.